RNAcentral lists this ribosomal RNA (158 nucleotides) under uncultured bacterium. RNAcentral describes it as "partial 16S ribosomal RNA". It matches the Rfam family "Bacterial small subunit ribosomal RNA", at positions 1342 to 1500 of the family's 1533-position model. The record is from RNAcentral.
UGGCAGGUCAGCAUACUGCCGUGAAUACGUUCCCGGGCCUUGUACACACCGCCCGUCACACCAUGAGAGUCGGAACACCCGAAGUCCGUAGCCUAACCGCAAGGAGGGCGCGGCCGAAGGUGGGUUCGAUAAUUGGGGUGAAGUCGUAACAAGGUACC